UACAGAGGGCGCGAGCGUUGUCCGGAAUCACUGGGCGUAAAGGGCGCGUAGGUGGCCACUAUAAGGCUGCGGUGAAAGUUCGGGGCUCAACCCCGAAUCUGCCGCGGCGACUGUAGGGCUUGGGCACCGUAGAGGCAGAUGGAAUUCCGGGUGUAGCGGUGGAAUGCGUAGAGAUCCGGAAGAACACCAGUGGCGAAGGCGACUUACUGGACUGUAACUGACGCUGAGGCAUGAAAGCGUGGGGAGCAAACAGG
RNAcentral lists this ribosomal RNA (254 nucleotides) under uncultured bacterium. Its description in RNAcentral is "partial 16S ribosomal RNA". It matches the Rfam family "Bacterial small subunit ribosomal RNA", at positions 524 to 776 of the family's 1533-position model. The record is from RNAcentral.